Molecule: ribosomal RNA, 253 nt
Filed under: uncultured bacterium
Lineage: Bacteria
Description: partial 16S ribosomal RNA
Rfam family: Bacterial small subunit ribosomal RNA
Source: RNAcentral
UACGAAGGGGGCAAGCGUUGUCCGGAUUUACUGGGCGUAAAGAGCGCGCAGGCGGUCGUUCAAGUCGAGUGUGAAAGCCCCCGGCUCAACUGGGGAGGGUCACUCGAUACUGAUCGACUCGAAGGCAGGAGAGGGAAGCGGAAUUCCCGGUGUAGUGGUGAAAUGCGUAGAUAUCGGGAGGAACACCAGUGGCGAAGGCGGCUUUCUGGCCUGCUCUUGACGCUGAGGCGCGAAAGCUAGGGUAGCAAACGGG